CAGGGCACUGCCAGGGUUUGAUUUCCUUGGAUCCGCUCGGCUGCUGCUGCUGGCAGCUGUAACAAGCCAGGAGACAAAUCCAGCAGCUGACCCCUCCAAACAGAGCUGCACGCCGGGCUGGAAGAGGGAUUUUGGCAGGUGAAGUGAUGGAAUUGUGAGAAUUGCACAGAACCACUUCCAGGCUGAUUAUCCAGAGCAGCUGUAGCUGCCCCUGCAUCCCUGCAGUGCCCAAGGCCAGGCUGGACAGGGCUGGAGCAGCCUGGGAUGGUGGGAGGAGCAGGGAAGAGGAGCUGGCCGGGCUUUCAGGUCCCUCCCAGCCCAAAACAUUCCAUGAUUUUAUGCUUACUCCUGGAUUUAUGACGGAUUCACCUGUGGGGAAGCUGCGCAGCUCUGGGACUUGGCUUUGCUGUUCCCUGGUGGGAUUGCCUGGGAUAAAGCCAGGGCUGUUUGUGGCUCCCCCCUGCAGCUCCUUAAGAAUUGGCUCUCGUGGCCGAGUUCCCUUCAGCCCCAUCGUUAAUAAAAUCAGAAUGAAUUUACUUAACUAAGCGGAGGUUUGGGAAAUUCAAUAAAAAUAGUUUUCUUUACAAUUAAGGUGCAUCUGUGGGAUAUUCUUUAGCAUUUCUGGAGCAUAUCUGAAGUUUUUUAUAUUUGGGACUGAGUAUUCCACGUGUCCUUCCUUUCCUUGGAUCACUGGUGUGGCUCUGGCUCAGCUUUGGAGACAUUCUGGAAUUGUUUAGCAUUACCUGGCUUUUUUCACUGUGGACUCCAGUCAAACCCCUCCAUUUGCAGUUUGAUUUUAUUCUUUCCCAUAUUUCAUUUAAUAGUUCUGCCUCACUUUCUGUAGGAAAUGAGAAGGGAAGGCCAAUAUUUGCCAUGAAUGAAAAUGAAAAUUCAUAAGUCAACAGCCAGGGCCAGCCCUCCCUCUCUGUUACACAAACCCAGCGGGGUUUGCUUUGUUUAAACCACCGAGGUCUGACCCUCUGUGAUUUUGUGUUUGUUUUAAUAAGAGCAUUUGGUGGUUGUGGGAGGCUCUUCUCACAGCACACGUGUCAGAGCUGGCAGGUUUGUUUUCCAGAGAACAGCUCUGGGCAGGAUUCACCUCAGCCCUUCAUUCUGCAGGAAAAGGAGCGCUGGGCUUCUGCCAGAGUGAGGGAAGCAAUUCCAGAGUGAGGGAAGUAAUUCCAGAGUGGGGGAAGCAAUUCCAGAGUGGGGGAAGUAAUUCCAGAGUGAGGGAAGCAAUUCCAGAGUGAGGGAAGCAAUUCCAGAGUGGGGGAAGCAAUCCCAGAGUGGGGGAAGUAAUUCCAGAGUGGGGGAAGCAAUUCCAGAGUGGGGGAAGCAAUUCCAGAGUGGGGGAAGCAAUCCCACAGUGGGGAAAGCAAUUCCACAGUGAGGGAAGCAAUUCCAGAAGUGAGGGAAGCAAUCCCAGAGUGAGGGAAGCAAUUCCACAGUGAGGGAAGCAAUUCCAGAGUGGGGAAAGCAAUCCCAGAGUGGGGGAAGCAAUUCCACAGUGAGGGAAGCAAUUCCAGAGAGGGGGAAGCAAUUCUAGAUGUUUUGGAUUUUGGGAAGGAGGAGGGCUGGCAAGGCUUCCUCAGGGUGCCACAGGAAUUCCACAGAGCCCCAGAAACCUGAAUCCUUCAGGGGGGCACCUGCUGCAGCCCCUGGAAGGUCACUGGGAUGGUCACAUUUCACUGGGCAGCCCUCCUCUGUCUUGGUGGGAGAGAUUUCUAAAGUUAAUUACGAAAUCUUUGCCAUUAAAUAUUCAACAACACUUAUUUUUGAGUACCUCAGGUUUCAUUUAGGUUCCUUGAAAAUUUAAUAUCCGACUUUAAUAUUUAAUACUGCCCUGAGAUGGGUGUAGGAAUUUAAAGUCUAUGCUUAGAAUGAAAAGGAUCCUGGGUUUCUUUAUGGAAAAGGCUGAGGUGGAGGGUUGAGGAAAGGGUCUGCCUUGAAAGGAUCCAACUCUUCCUUUUUCCAUCCUGCACAAGUGUCUUUUAUGUGCAGGGCACCGUAGGGCUCACUCUGCUCUAAUUAAGGCCUCUCAUUUGUUAAAAUAUCUUUAACACGUUUGCAGCACAGCACCAAAAAUGGGAAGCAUUAUGAUAAUUUUUAAGGUUGUUUUUUUUCUUCUGGGAGGGGGAUUAGCUGCCCAAUUAACACACACCAUUAAUUUGUGAGCUGCACUUGAAGUGAAAUGAGCAACACAGGGUUUGUGGAAUUGUUGAAGAAUCAGAAUUAGAGUCAGAAAGCACAAAAGCACUUGGAAAAGUCUUGUGAGCCCGGAUUAGAAGG
This 2289-nucleotide long non-coding RNA is filed under the name Taeniopygia guttata (zebra finch). RNAcentral's name for it is "lncRNA (ENSTGUG00000024734.1)". The record is from RNAcentral. Lineage: Eukaryota; Metazoa; Chordata; Aves; Passeriformes; Estrildidae.